This 1489-nucleotide long non-coding RNA is filed under the name Phascolarctos cinereus (koala). RNAcentral's name for it is "lncRNA (ENSPCIG00000011946.2)". The record is from RNAcentral. Lineage: Eukaryota; Metazoa; Chordata; Mammalia; Diprotodontia; Phascolarctidae.
AUGGGGAGGCGGCCGGCGUGGGGCCCGCGGAGGUCUCCGAGCAUCGUCAGAGGAGAGUCGGGGGCAACGCGGGUGGGCCGGGGAGUCCCGGCGUCUCCGAGGGGGCGGGCUGGCGGAGGGAGGCUGGCCCGGGCGCUGGGACCCGGGACAGACCAGGACCCCGAGUUGACGGGCUCCACGGGCACGCAACGCCGUGGCCAGGGGGUCGGAAGCGGCUGGAGUCACGGAUCCUCGGAGCUGAGAGUCUGGCUAGCAGGGGCCAUGCAGCCCUGCAGGAGAUCCCAGGGAGAGGGGUCCGCAGACUCGGCUCUGUCCGGGGGGCUCUGGACUCCUGGACGCGCGAGCCGUUGCAUCCUUUCCAUUCAACCCAAUCCAACCAGCUGUCCUCAAGCACCCCUCCUGUACAGAGCCAUGUCCUGCUGCUGCUUUCCUGGGACUGCUGGUCAAGGUGAUCUUCCUCCAGUCCAUUGCUUUGAAUCCAAGGCCUCACGUUCACCCCAGGUGCAGACACAACACUUCAUUCACAAUCAGAGCUGGCUUCUUCCAUGCUUUUCUUCUGGCUCCAUCAGUCCUGCAUCCAAGGUCUAGCUUCUCAGAUCUGGGGUUCUUCAUGUCAGGAAAGUCCAGCCCACACCACUGCUAUAGGCCAGCCCCCCCCCCCACCACACCAUGGCCAUGGUUCUGGCCUCUGAUGCUGCCCUUGCCCUCUGGGGGGGAAAAAAAGAAGAAGAAGAGGACAUUAAGAAGAAAACACAUGCAUUCUAGCUUUCUCAAUCCCUACACAGCCCCGCAUGAAAUCCUCAAAGAAGAUCCCAUAUGUGUGAACUGGGACAGCUAGGUGGCACAGUGGAUAGAGUGUUGGGCCUGAAUUCAGGAAGAUUCAUAUUCCUGAGUUCAAAUCUGGCCUCAGACACUUACUACCUGUGUGACCCUAGGCAGUCACUCCACCCUGUUUGCUUCAGUUUCCUCAUUUGUAAAAUGGGCUGGAGAAGGAAAUGGCAAACCAUAGGAGUAUAUUUGCCAAGAAAAUCUUAAACCGGGGCAUGAAGAGUUGGACAUGACUGAACAACAGUAAUACAUGUGAACUGGAAAAGGGAGUUCACCUUGCUUAGAAGCAGCAGGAGGAAUGAAAUGAACUUGGGAUGAAAAAGGGGUAGGGUGGGGGAAUGUGAAUCUUUGGCAUUCUUGCAUUCCACCGUGGGAGACAGCACUACCGCCUUCAGUCACCACCACCCUCCUUUUACUGACCAUGAGCUUGUACUAACCCCUUCGCCACUACCACCCCAGAUGACAUAUUGAACUCUUUCUCCACAGUUAGCUAACACUUCCUAUUACCUCCACAAAUGCAGCCUUAGGUCUGCUUCCAAAGGUCUCUUCGAUCUUAGUCACCCGCAGGGAGCAAGAGGAGGGGAGAGGGGAAGCUCCUCUUUAAUAUCACCUUCCAAACUCUCUUCCCCUUUCUUCAGUCCCUCUCCUCCCUACACUGUCA